Oreochromis niloticus (Nile tilapia) is the source of this 487-nucleotide long non-coding RNA. RefSeq lists it as uncharacterized. The transcript is spliced from 3 exons. NCBI's taxonomy places the organism in Eukaryota, Metazoa, Chordata, Actinopteri, Cichliformes, Cichlidae. The record is from RefSeq and is a predicted model, not a curated record.
CUCUGUCCUGGUCGUUGUGUCCUUGGGCAAGAAACUUCACCUACCGCCUACUCGUGUUGGCCAGAGGGGCCGAUGGCGCGGAAAGGAGUUGUAUCUGGCUCUACUCGUCCAGGAAAAGUUUCAGAAGACACACAAUCAGAGGAAGCUCUACAAUAUAAAGGAGGAGGAGUGACUGAGAGCAGAGAGGAGGAGCAGAGAUUCAGGGAGGAGCUGAGCUGUUACUGAACUAUAGAAGAGAGAAAAACCUCCACAUUCAACAGAGUUCAACACAAAACAAACUUUAUGUUCCUCAACAUGCUGUCAUUACAUCACUGUGUGUUUCCUCUGAUUCUUCUCACUCUCACAGGUGUCACAUGUGAUCAGCUCACUCCAUCCAAAGAUGAAGAGUCCAGUUUAGAGGGCAGCACAGUUACUCUGACCUACACUUACAAAGUGUCAACUGGUGAUUAUUUCUUCUGGUAUCGACAACAUCCAGGAAGAGCACCAG